Canis lupus familiaris (dog) is the source of this 1505-nucleotide long non-coding RNA. RefSeq lists it as uncharacterized. The transcript has 9 exons. NCBI's taxonomy places the organism in Eukaryota, Metazoa, Chordata, Mammalia, Carnivora, Canidae. The record is from RefSeq and is a predicted model, not a curated record.
UUUCACUGGGAGAGAGAGGCAGAGACACAGACAGAGGGAGUAGCAGGGAGCCCGAUGUGGGACUCGAUCCCGGGACUCCGGAUCACGACCUGAGCUGAAGGCAGACGCUCAACCGAUGAGCCCCACAUCACAGUUUUAAACUUAUUAUAUCUCCAAAGACCUAUUAUCAGAGCACAGACUCUAACCAGGUGCUGAGAAGUCACAAGCUUCUGUGGCAAGAAGAAAGCUUUGGGACAAGAGUCAAUGGAGGCGUGCACCCUGGCAGCCAGAUAAGGAGCAAUUCUGGGAGGCCUGCCUGAAGUUAGAAGAACCCAUGCAGAGUUGGUCCUUACAGUGGUUACUGAUGCAGAAAAAGUGGCCAAAACUGGAGACAGUAAUUGUUUAUCAGAUUAUUAACUUCACAUGGCCAUGAAAAGUCUACAAAAUGAGCAAGAGAAUCCAUAAGAACAAAGCUGGAGGACUCACAACACCAUAUAAUGAGAAAAGAGAGGCUCCCAAAAUGUGACUUUCUCAGUAUCAAAAAAUAGGUUGAAAAAAUGCAUAUUACGUGACACCACAGACAGGAUCUAGUGGAACUUGAAGAAGCACAGAGACAGGAGUCCCACCGAGAAGAGGAUCUCAUGGCAGAGAGGGACCUCAGGAAUGUUCUUGGAUCGGGCUUUAUUUUCACCAAUAAUCUGAAGCUGAUGGAUCAGAACAUCGUUCCUCCUUGAAUUUAGUGUUUAAAAGUCUCUACUCUUGGGAAGUCUCGAGCCCCAGGUCCCACCCAGGUGUGCUUACUCAUUCCCUGGAUUUCGCCCAACGUCUUGGCUUGCGGGUCAUGGAGAAUCGGGAAGCCCAGCACAGCCUCCACCAACCAGAGCCGCCCUACCUGUUACAGGGAGGCGACAAGAGAAUAAAGUAGAAGACAUUCCAUCAACGAUAAAAGGAUCUUCACUGGGUGUUCAUGAAAAAGAUUGGAGGGCAGAACAAGAAAUCAGAAAGAGCCACCCUCAGUCGUAUCAAAGCCUGUGGGAAGUAAUCAACUGGCAUUGAUGACAAACAAGAAACACUGUCCAUUGUUGCCUGGCUUACCUCUCAGAUGAAGGAAAAGCUUUAAGCCACUGUGGGAUGAACAACAAACCCUUUUCCCCCACCAGAACAACCAUGGGCGAAAGAGAAACAAAAAGACUUAGGAAAUGCUUUUAUCCUGCCUUCAGGACACAAGCAAAGAUCCAGUGUAGAAGACAAGGGUCUUGUGUCUCUAGUAGUAGGGUAGGAAAACGUGUACUAAGAAUGCUACAUGAAAGCAAAACUGAGAACUUCUAUGGCUACGUGCAGGGCAAGAAAUCCUUUAUUGCCUAAGAUCUGCCAGAGAGAGAAUGUAGAGUUUAGAUGCCAUGUGAUGGGUUUAGGGGGAGAAAUGUUGAAAUGGCAUCAACCCUGAGGCCUACAUGUGGAAUUUAUAACAUGGAAGGAAAUAUAUACAAUAACACAAGGGAUGGGGCUAAAUAAAUGAGAGUUUA